AUUCUAUGGAAAUUUAUCCCUUUCCGAACACAAUGUAUAAAAAAAAUUAAUCAACGUAUGGUUGCCGGUGAUCUCAAAAGAUCAUUGGAUGAUUGUAAGGGUCAUGACUUCUUUAUCUAACUGGAUGAAUCAAAAUUUGCUAACAGGGUUUAGUUCAAUAAUCGUAGCAGCUACGUAGCUGCUAUCAAUAUAUAUGUAACAACUAGUAUAUAGCUACACGUUCAAUAGUGAAAAUCUACGUAGCACUACACGUAACCGCUACGAUAUUGAACGCAGCCCAGGUGUUAAUGAAACUGACAACUUCGUGGAAUUUGAAAGGCACUCGAAGGGGAUUUUCGUUUAACAAAAAAAAGAAAAUUUAUUUUUUAAUCAUUAGAGAAACAGAUUCUUACAUAGUUACUCGUGGAUUAUAGGA
This 415-nucleotide long non-coding RNA is filed under the name Mytilus galloprovincialis (Mediterranean mussel). The record is from RNAcentral. Lineage: Eukaryota; Metazoa; Mollusca; Bivalvia; Mytilida; Mytilidae.